This is a long non-coding RNA of Astatotilapia calliptera (eastern happy), 2567 nucleotides long. NCBI's taxonomy places the organism in Eukaryota, Metazoa, Chordata, Actinopteri, Cichliformes, Cichlidae. The record is from Ensembl.
UUUGCUUCCUCUGCUGUCGGGGGAGGCUCAGACGGCGGCAGACUCAGGGCCGCCGUCUGAGCUCCUCGAGGAGCAACUUCGAGGACAUGAGCCGGGCGGUGUUGGACAGGAUGGAUCUUGCCCCUGAGGAUAUUCGCCGGGGAGGAUCGGCCGUUUGCUUGGGCCCGGAAACUACACGACGCGGCGGUGUGGUGGCUGCAGCCGGGAUCGUCAGAGGGGGAGACGCUGCUGGUGGAGAAGUCGGUGCUGGAGCAGUUCAUGGAGGGGCAAUGAUUUUCCAGGCGGCUCAUUAUAACCCCAUGGCAGGGCAUAUAGGAUAUGAAAAAACUCUGGAGUGAAUAACGGCCUGAUUUUAUUGGCCGGACAUCUGGAUGUGAGCCGUUGGUGCGCAUCCUGCCAGCUUGUUAAUCAGCCGUUCAUACCAAAAGUGCCUUUGCACCCGCUCCCACUCAUGGAGGUCCCGUUUGAGCGCAUUGGCACAGACCUCAUCGGGGUGUUUCACCAGAGUGCACGCGGCUAUCGCUUUCUGUUAGUCCUGGUGGAUUAUGCAGCGCGAUACCCGGAAGCAGUGGCGCUGCGCAACAUCUCUGCAAAGAGUGUGGCGCAGGCACUGUUUCAGGUCCCGAGUCGGAAUCCCGAAAGAGAUCAGGGCACAUCGUUCAUGUCUCGCACACUGCGGGAACUGUACGAAUUACUGGGCAUUAACCAGCGUCCACCACCCUCAUAUGGACGGGCUGGUGUAGCGGUUGAACAAGACUUUAAAGUCCAUGAUUCGUAAGUUCAUUAACGAGGAUGAACGGAAUUGGGAUCGCUGGCUAGACCCUCUGUUAUUUGCAGUGCUGGAGGUGCCCCAGGCCUCCACGGGAUUUUCUCCCUUUGAACUGCUGUUCGGCAGGAAGCCGCGUGGGGUGCUCGACCUGAUUAAAGAAAGCUGGGAGGACGGUCCGGGCCUCGCCAAGAAUGAGAUUCAGUACGUGUUGGACCUGAGAGCGAAAUGCCACACUUUGGGGAGGUUGUCACGGGAGAAUUUGCUCCAGGCUCAGCAGCGUCAGCAACGCCUGUAUGACAGAGGGGCUAGACUCAGGCAGUUUUCACCAGGAGACAGUGCUUGUAUUACUCCCUUCUUCCAGCUCAAAGUUGCUUGCAAAGUGGCAAGGACACUUUGUGGUCACACGGCGAAUUGGGGACAUUGACUAUGAGGUCAGACAGGGGAAGAGCGCCGCAGAUUUAUCACCUCAAUCUCCUUAAAGCGUGAAGAGAGCCUGAAAAUGCUUCUCUGGUAAGCCUGGUUAAGGAGAGAGAGGAGUUGGGGCCGGAGGGGCCAAAUUCUAUCAUCCCCGCCUCCCUCCCUUGUGAUGACCAUCUCACACAGGCCCAGAAAGCGGAUGUUGACGCCUUACAGCAGCAUUUUGCAGACGUGUUCUCCCCCCUGCCCGGCCGAAGGUCUCUCAUUGAGCAUCAUUUUGAAACACAGCCUGGCGUGACGGUGCGUUCACGGCCCUACAGGCUUCCUGAGCAUAACCGGCAAAUUGUUCAGAGGGAAUUGGCUGAAAUGCUGAAAAUGGGAGUGAUAGAAGAGUCGCACAGCGCCUGCUGUAGCCCCAUAGUUCUUGUGGUGAAGAAGGAUGGGUCUAUACGGUUCUGUGUCGACUAUCGCAAGGUGAAUGAAGGGUCAUGCUUUGAUGCUUAUCCCAUGCCCCGGGUCGACGAGCUCCUGGACCGGUUGGGCACAGCCCGUUUUUUCACGACACUGGAUUUAACCAAGGGUUACUGGCAGAUUCCCUUGUCUGCCAAUCCAAGGAAAAAACACCCUUCUCCAACCACAGCUACAGUAUCUGGGGCACCACUUGGGGGCAGGCAGGUGCGUCCACAGGUGGAGAAGACGGCAGCUAUCGCAUCCUGUCCACGAAAGUAGGUUCGGCCAGACGGCUCCCUGGCCUCAGUCGGGCGGUGGGGGUGUAUGUCCCUGGCUCAGCUGCAGGGGAGGAGUGGUGCAGUGAGCUCAACGGGGCGGUGCUGGAGAGGCAGACAGGAAAACAACGCGAACACCACCACCAAAAACAACGACCACUUCACUGACAACAAGAACUGCAGCAACAGCGGCAGCAGCACCUGAGGAAAUCUUAGCUGCUGAUCACCUGUGGCACAUGACUGUCCGCACACUGAUUGGACUGCUCUACUUAAUCAUCAUGAUCAGCAUCACUGCUGUUACCCGGAGGAAAGCUCGACAGAUACAGAAGCGAGACACAGCAGCAGAUUCUGAUCUCUGAUGCUCCAUCACACAGAAGCAGGACACCUGUGUUAACUAUAUGCAUCGUAGCUGCUCAUGGAGACUAAAGACAGUGUGGCACAAUAGCAAGCUACUGCUGCUGGGCUCCAGUUUGGUAUAAGUGCCUUGCAGAUUCAGUAUGUACCGUUGUGUCCACAAUUUUAAAUCAUUUGGAAAAAAAUUGUUUUUUGUUUUUUUUUUCUUACAGAUUUUAUUUUGCUGUUUAGCUUCAGUGCGCUGUUGGCUCUGUUGUCAUGGCAAUAACACCAAAUUAUACCAUGUAAAACUCUGAAUAAAA